This 594-nucleotide ribosomal RNA is filed under the name Anomoporia vesiculosa. RNAcentral describes it as "eukaryotic LSU rRNA". The stretch from base 180 to 333 matches the Rfam family "5.8S ribosomal RNA". Lineage: Eukaryota; Fungi; Basidiomycota; Agaricomycetes; Amylocorticiales; Amylocorticiaceae. The record is from RNAcentral.
CUGGUAGACUUGUCUACAUGUGCACACUCUGAUCUAUCAUUCACUUCAUAUACCUGUGCACUCUUUGUAGGGAAUGCAAUGGGAAACCAUUGCUUCUCUAUGUUUUUAUAUAUACCCUAUUGUAUGUCUUCAGAAUGUCUUGUAUUUGUUUGCCGUAAAAAGCAUUCAAAAUAAAUUAUAACUUUCAGCAACGGAUCUCUUGGCUCUCGCAUCGAUGAAGAACGCAGCGAAAUGCGAUAAGUAAUGUGAAUUGCAGAAUUCAGUGAAUCAUCGAAUCUUUGAACGCACCUUGCGCUCCUUGGUAUUCCGAGGAGCAUGCCUGUUUGAGUGUCAUUAAAUUCUCAACCCCUUCAGCUUUUGUUGAGUGGGGAUUGGACUUGGAGUGUGCCGGCGUCAAGUCGGCUCCUCUUUAAAUGCAUUAGUGGUUAUCAUAGAGUCUAUAUAGCUUCACGGGACGGUGUGAUAGUUUAUCUACGCCUCUAAGCCUGUUGAAGUGGAUGAUAUAACAACUGCUUCCAACUGUCUUUGGACAAACAUUUUAUUUAAAUUGACCUCAAAUCAGGUAGGAUUACCCGCUGAACUUAAGCAUAUCAA